Molecule: ribosomal RNA, 885 nt
Filed under: Cadophora fastigiata
Lineage: Eukaryota; Fungi; Ascomycota; Leotiomycetes; Helotiales; Ploettnerulaceae
Description: LSU rRNA
Rfam family: Eukaryotic large subunit ribosomal RNA
Source: RNAcentral
AGCAUAUCAAUAAGCGGAGGAAAAGAAACCAACAGGGAUUACCUCAGUAACGGCGAGUGAAGCGGUAACAGCUCAAAUUUGAAAGCUAGCUCUUUUAGGGUUCGCAUUGUAAUUUGUAGAAGAUGCUUCGGGUGUGGCCCCGGUCUAAGUUCCUUGGAACAGGACGUCAUAGAGGGUGAGAAUCCCGUAUGUGACUGGGUGCUUUCGCUCAUGUGAAGCUCUUUCGACGAGUCGAGUUGUUUGGGAAUGCAGCUCAAAAUGGGUGGUAAAUUUCAUCUAAAGCUAAAUAUUGGCCAGAGACCGAUAGCGCACAAGUAGAGUGAUCGAAAGAUGAAAAGCACUUUGGAAAGAGAGUUAAACAGUACGUGAAAUUGUUGAAAGGGAAGCGCUUGCAACCAGACUUGCGCGCUGAUGAUCAUCCGGGCUUCUGUCCGGUGCACUCGUCUGCGCUCAGGCCAGCAUCGGUUUCGGUGGUGGGAUAAAGGCCUUGGGAAUGUAGCUUCUUUCGGGGAGUGUUAUAGCCCUCGGUGCAAUGCCGCCUACCGGGACCGAGGACCGCGCUUCGGCUAGGAUGCUGGCGUAAUGGUUGUAAGCGACCCGUCUUGAAACACGGACCAAGGAGUCUAACAUCUAUGCGAGUGUUUGGGUGUCAAACCCAUACGCGUAAUGAAAGUGAACGGAGGUGAGAACCCUUAAGGGUGCAUCAUCGACCGAUCCUGAUGUCUUCGGAUGGAUUUGAGUAAGAGCAUAGCUGUUGGGACCCGAAAGAUGGUGAACUAUGCGUGAAUAGGGUGAAGCCAGAGGAAACUCUGGUGGAGGCUCGCAGCGGUUCUGACGUGCAAAUCGAUCGUCAAAUUUGCGUAUAGGGGCGAAAGACUAAUCGAA